This is a long non-coding RNA of Hyla sarda, 242 nucleotides long. RefSeq lists it as uncharacterized. The transcript is spliced from 3 exons. The record is from RefSeq and is a predicted model, not a curated record. NCBI's taxonomy places the organism in Eukaryota, Metazoa, Chordata, Amphibia, Anura, Hylidae.
AGAUUUUUCAGUAAGAAAGGACAGAAAAAGCAUGAAGAGAACUAGAUAGACAGUGUUCCAAUCCCCGGCCUGAUACUCAGUACAACAGAGACUUUCUUCCGCAGCUUGAGUCUGGUUAAUCUCAGCUGCCACAUCUCUCUAAUCUUCAUUUUAAGUGCACAGAGAAGCAGAAGAUUUGGAAGAUCUGUAGUACAAAGAUAGAACUCUGCAUCUAUAAAGAUACACAGUAUUGUGGAUUAAUG